AAUGCGGGACUCUAAGAGGCCCCGUAAUUGGAAUGAGUACACCUUAAAUCGUUUAACGAGUAUCAAUUGGAGGGCAAGUCUGGUGCCAGCAGCCGCGGUAAUUCCAGCUCCAAUAGCGUAUAUUAAAGUUGCUGCAGUUAAAAAGCUCGUAGUUGGAUCUGGGGCUUGAGGUCGCUGUCUAACGUUUCGGCGAUGACGGUGUUGCUCAGCUCUGCUUGCCGGUAACUGUUGCGGUGUUCUUCACUGAGCGCUGUAGCAGCACGGCACGUUUACUUUGAAAAAAUUAGAGUGCUCAAAGCGUGCUUGUCGCUUGAAUAAUGUUGCAUGGAAUAAUGGAAUAGGACCUCGGUUCUAUUUUGUUGGUUUUCGGAGCUUGAGGUAAUGAUUAAGAGGGACGAACGGGGGCAUUCGUAUUGCGGUGUUAGAGGAGAAAUUCUUGGAUCGCCGCAAGACGGACUACCGCGAAAGCAUUUGCCAAGAACGCUUUCAUUAAUUAAGAACGAAAGUCAGAGGUUCGAAGACGAUCAGACACCGUCCUAGUUCUGACCAUAAACGAUGCCGACCAGCGAUCCGUAGUGGUUGCUUUAUGGACCCUACGGGCAGCCUCCGGGAAACCAAAGUAUUUGGGUUCCGGGGGAAGUAUGGUUGCAAAGCUGAAACUUAAAGGAAUUGACGGAAGGGCACACCAGGAGUGGAGCCUGCGGCUUAAUUUGACCCAACACGGGAAAACUCACCCGGUCCGGACACCGUAAGGAUUGACAGACUGAUAGCUCUUUCUUGAUUCGGUGGAUGGUGGUGCAUGGCCGUUCUUAGCUGGUGGAGUGAUUUGUCUGGUUAAUUCCGAUAACGAACGAGACUCUAGCCUGCUAAGUAGUGUUGCUAUUGUUAUAUGGUUGACACUUCUUAGAGGGACAAGUGGCAUUUAGCCACGCGAAAUUGAGCAAUAACAGGUCUGUGAUGCCCUUAGAUGUCCGGGGCCGCACGCGCGCUACACUGGAGAAGUCAGCGUGUGUUAUCCAAGUCCGAAAGGACUGGGUAAUCCGUUGAACCUUCUUCGUGCUUGGGACUGUGGCUUGGAACUAUUCCACAUGAACGAGGAAUUCCUAGUAAUUGCAAGUCAUAAGCUUGCGUUGAUUACGUCCCUGCCCUUUGUACACACCGCCCGUCGCUACUACCGAUUGAAUGGUUUAGCAAGGUCCUCGGAUCGUGGCCGUAGGGGCACGCAAGUGUUUCUGCGGUUUGCGAGAAGACGACCAAACUUGAUCAUUUAGA
This 1272-nucleotide ribosomal RNA is filed under the name metagenome. RNAcentral's name for it is "SSU rRNA". It matches the Rfam family "Eukaryotic small subunit ribosomal RNA", at positions 482 to 1777 of the family's 1831-position model. The record is from RNAcentral.